CAUUUGUCAAUUAGCAGUAGAGUUAUUGGGCAGUAGCGUCGGCGGCCAGCAUUUUGUCAGGGUGCAAGCAAACGCGACGGCGGCCGCCGGCCGGCACGCAGCGGAAGACACGAGGCUGGCACGCUUUCCGCGUUCGACGACGGCGACGGCGACCAGAGUGCUCGAUGGACCAUUCCAUUUGUCACGGGCGCACGGAGGUCGUCGGACGGAAAGGUGCACGGAACGCGGACAGACAUUAGACAUUAGAGAAAAUGCAAGGGCGGCGGCGUGGCGGAACGGAACCUUUUUCCAGGAGCCAGCCGCGCAGCGCAUUACCCGGUUCUUGUGUAAACGGAACCUUUUUCCAGCGAAAGAUCUAGACCAAAAAGCUAAGCAAAGCAACGCUACCGAUCGAGAGGAAACUGAAGGCCACACACGACACGACUCGCCAGGGGAAUGACGUCCGGGAAUCUUAGCCUCGUUUACUUCAUUAAUGGUUCGGCCAACGGCGGCGGAUCGGUCGCCGCGCCGUCGCCGCCGGCGGUGGCCAGAGUGGGGAGGGAACGAAAGCACGCGGCGGCAGUAGUAGGGCCUCGAAUCGAUCGAAGUCAAGGCGGGAAGGCAGGGGGGACGACGUACCAUGAGGGCGAGCCGCGGGCGGUCGAGCGCGCCGGCGGGAGAGAAUUGAGAGAGCGAGCACGAGCUACCGGCGGGCAAGCGGCCGGACGACGACGCUACCAAUCAUCCCCUUCCUCCCUCCUCUCUUCUCCUCUCCUUUCUUUUCC
RNAcentral lists this unclassified non-coding RNA (764 nucleotides) under Zea mays. RNAcentral's name for it is "misc RNA Zm00001eb174720". The record is from RNAcentral. Lineage: Eukaryota; Viridiplantae; Streptophyta; Magnoliopsida; Poales; Poaceae.